AUAUGCACGGUUUGCACUAGUG
RNAcentral lists this unclassified non-coding RNA (22 nucleotides) under Chlamydomonas reinhardtii. RNAcentral describes it as "small RNA Cre_0670". Lineage: Eukaryota; Viridiplantae; Chlorophyta; Chlorophyceae; Chlamydomonadales; Chlamydomonadaceae. The record is from RNAcentral.